CCUACGGGAGGCAGCAGUAGGGAAUCUUCCACAAUGGGCGAAAGCCUGAUGGAGCAACGCCGCGUGGGUGAAGAAGGUCUUCGGAUCGUAAAACCCUGUUGUUAGAGAAGAAAGUGCGUGAGAGUAACUGUUCACGUUUCGACGGUAUCUAACCAGAAAGCCACGGCUAACUACGUGCCAGCAGCCGCGGUAAUACGUAGGUGGCAAGCGUUAUCCGGAUUUAUUGGGCGUAAAGGGAACGCAGGCGGUCUUUUAAGUCUGAUGUGAAAGCCUUCGGCUUAACCGGAGUAGUGCAUUGGAAACUGGGAGACUGGAGUGCAGAAGAGGAGAGUGGAACUCCAUGUGUAGUGGUGAAAUGCGUAGAUAUAUGGAAGAACACCAGUGGCGAAAGCGGCGCUCUGGUCUGUAACUGACGCUGAGGUUCGAAAGCGUGGGUAGCAAACAGGAUUAGAUACCCGAGUAGUC
RNAcentral lists this ribosomal RNA (465 nucleotides) under uncultured bacterium. RNAcentral's name for it is "partial 16S ribosomal RNA". It matches the Rfam family "Bacterial small subunit ribosomal RNA", at positions 338 to 795 of the family's 1533-position model. The record is from RNAcentral.